ACACAUAGACACCUUCCAAUUCCUACAAU
This 29-nucleotide small RNA is filed under the name Bombyx mori (domestic silkworm). RNAcentral describes it as "ovarian small RNA-10998". The record is from RNAcentral. Lineage: Eukaryota; Metazoa; Arthropoda; Insecta; Lepidoptera; Bombycidae.